GCCGGGAUGGUGGAAUUGGUAGACGCAGCGGACUCAAAAUCCGCCGGUGGCAACACCUUGCGAGUUCGAGUCUCGCUCCCGGUACCA
Molecule: transfer RNA, 87 nt
Filed under: Nitratidesulfovibrio vulgaris str. 'Miyazaki F'
Lineage: Bacteria; Pseudomonadati; Thermodesulfobacteriota; Desulfovibrionia; Desulfovibrionales; Desulfovibrionaceae
Also listed under: 14 other names
Description: tRNA-Leu (CAA) (tRNA-Leu-CAA-1-1)
Rfam family: tRNA
About the family: Transfer RNA (tRNA) molecules are approximately 80 nucleotides in length. Their secondary structure includes four short double-helical elements and three loops (D, anti-codon, and T loops).
Source: RNAcentral